RNAcentral lists this ribosomal RNA (1381 nucleotides) under uncultured organism. Its description in RNAcentral is "bacterial SSU rRNA". It matches the Rfam family "Bacterial small subunit ribosomal RNA". The record is from RNAcentral.
AGGACGAACGCUGGCGGCGUGCCUAAUGCAUGCAAGUCGCACGAUCCUGCCUUCGGGCAGGAGAGUGGCGCACGGCUGAGGAACACGUGGGUACCAACCCUGGCGUGGGGGACAACGACCCGAAAGGGUCGCUAAUCCCGCAUACGCUCCUUCGGGAGGAAAGUGGCAACACGCGCGAGGACGGGCCUGCGGCCCAUCAGGUAGUUGGUGCGGUAAAAGCGUACCAAGCCAAUGACGGGUACCUGGUCUGAGAGGACGACCAGGCAGACUGGGACUGAGACACGGCCCAGACUCCUACGGGAGGCAGCAGCAAGGAAUUUUCCGCAAUGGGCGCAAGCCUGACGGAGCAACGCCGCGUGCCGGAAGACGGCCUUCGGGUUGUAAACGGCUUUUGUUGGGGAAGAAACAGACGGUACCCAACGAAUAAGCCCCGGCUAACUCCGUGCCAGCAGCCGCGGUAAGACGGAGGGGGCAAGCGUUGUCCGGACUCACUGGGCGUAAAGGGUGCGUAGGCGGUUCGGAGCGUCGGCACUGAAAGCUCCCGGCUUAACUGGGAGAGGUGUGGCGAUACGACUGGACUAGAGGCAGCGAGAGGUGUGCGGAAUUCCGGGUGUAGUGGUGAAAUGCGUAGAUAUCCGGAAUGACACACAAUGGCGAAGGCGGCACACUGGCGCUGGCCUGACGCUGAGGCACGAAGGCGUGGGGAGCGAACCGGAUUAGAUACCCGGGUAGUCCACGCAGUAAACGAUGUUGGCUCGGUGUGCGGCCGGUGCGGAAGCACGGCGGCGUGCCCAAGCUCACGCGGUAAGCCAACCGCCUGGGGACUACGAGCGCAAGCUUAAAACUCAAAGGAAUUGACGGGGGCCCGCACAAGCAGCGGAGCGUGUGGUUUAAUUCGACGCAACGCGAAGAACCUUACCCAGGCUUGACAUGGAACGUGCAAGCGGCACAGAAAUGAGUGACCUUACGAAGGGUGUUGCACAGGUGCUGCAUGGCUGUCGUCAAGCUCGUGUCGUGAGAUGUUGGGUUACGUCCGGCAAAGAACGCAACCCUCGCCGUCAGUUAUAUGUGUCUGACGGGACUGCCCAGAGUGGAGGAAGGCGGGGAUGACGUCAAGUCAGGCAUGGCCACUUACGCCUUGGGGCGACACACACGCUACAAUGUCGGCGACAGUGCGCUGCANACCCGCAAGGGGGAGCUAAUCGCCANACGCCGACACAGUGCAGAUCGGGGGCUGCAACUCGCCACCGUGAAGNCGGAGUUGCUAGUAACCGCGUAUCAGCCAUGGCGCGGUGAAUACGUACCCGGGCAUUGUACACACCGCCCGUCACGUCAUGGGAGUUGGUAAUGCAUGAAGUCCGUGGGCUAACCCAUUGGGAGG